AAGAGGUCAGCGGGCGGCUUCUUACCAAAACAAUCGCUCAACUUUUCCCAUCAACCUGUGGCAUCUGUACAGCCGGUGGGAUGGUGUGGGGGAGGCAGGGAGGCAGCCAACCAAAGCGCAUUCAAUCCGGCCAGGAUCGGUCCAUCCCGAUCGGGAAAGGGAAGCAGGAAAAUACUAUAACAACAAACGUCCUCAUCCUCGUACCCUCCCUACCACCACCUUCAACUUGCUCGCCACUCCCAGCCCUUCACGGAAUCGUCGUAACCGGCAUAGAACUUGUCGCCGCACCUUUUGCGGCUAACUUUCGCUUACCGGAGCAAUGGAAGGACGCUGACGCGUACCUUGCACUGGGGGGAGGGCGGAAAAGCGAUGGGAAAAGCGAAACAUCUCCGAACACCGUUCGCCCCGAAUCGCCCGAACUGUCCCGAACGCGCCCCGAACCGGUUCCGGUGUCACGCGGGAAAGCAGAUCCGGUUUUUUUUGUUAUUCCUGCAACACGGCAUCGUAUUCGCGCUCCCGGCAGCCGAUCGUCACUGCUGCGUGCAAGGAGAAAAGCCGAACAUCGCCAAACGCACAGGCCGAUUAUUACGAACAUGAAUUGCAAGUGAUGCUGUGCUGCUUCGUUCGGCGAACGAUGAUGAAUGACGACAAGCAGCAGCAACAGCGGUGGCAGCGGCGGCAGAUUGCCAUCACCAUUCGCACCGUAUAGAGAGUGUUGCGGGCGCCAGGUCCGCCGUCAGUCAGCUGCCGGCAGUCAGCGCGAGCACACCGGUUCUCGUGGUCGUUCGUUGGCCGUCGUCCUCGGUACCCCGUACCGGAUGUUUUCGCGUCGGAGUGGUAGUGCACGAGUGCUAGUUAAUUGAAGCAGUCAAAAGAAGAAGAACAAAAAAACAGCCAUCCGCCGUACACCUUUGAUUGGAUUCGUGACCCACGGCCGUGACACCGUGACUUUCACACGUCUGUACCUGUCACGCACGCACGCACGCAUCGUUUCAACGACAAAGGACUUUACAGGUUUGGCACGCAAAGGCGACGGGCCAUUCGUGCUUUGUGAUGUUUUAUUUCCUUCUUAUUGUGUGAGUGUAUGUGUAUAUGUGUGUGUGUCUACAUGUUCCGGUGUAUUGUUUGGUGAAGCACGUUCCACUAUUGCGCUGGAUUGCUUGAAACGUGUCCGAGCCGAAUCGGGUGUAGUUGAAUCGAAAUCCGUUUUACUCGAAUCGAGUCCUUGUGCUCCCCUCCGACCCCCAUGCCUUCCGAGUUCACCUCCCGUUCACCACCGGUCGCCGCGACGAAAGCGCGAAAGCAAAGGCCACUCUCGAAAGGAUUCUCAUUACAAAUCUCGAGUGUCCAAUAGGCAAAACCGGAGAACACAACGAGAAAAAGAAAAAAAAGGGUUCCAUUCCAAAAGUGUUUGGCGGGCGCUCUUAGUGGCAGUAGGCGGUGAUCGCGGUGGUGUAAAAGAAGAGCAAGAGAAAAAAAACAAAUCCGUGCAAACCGAAAGAGUGCGGUGCAAAUGGGUUUGCCAAGUUGUGCCGGAAAGUCAGCGAUCCCGCCAUGGGCGGUAGCGUAUUGCACGUGCAAACCUCGCUAGAAGACAGUGCGCGCGUACGAAGAAGUGUGUGAAAGUGGGCUAGAAAGGACUGUGGGUUCUCAGUGGUCAUUUCCAGCGUGUGGCGCUCUGGUGGCUAGUGCAGGGCAGGCGGCAAAUUCACCACCACACGAAACCCAUCAUCACGCGGCCGCGGCUUCAUUUGCAGACGCUCGGGGAAAGUUGUGCCAGCAGUGUGCAGCGAACGAAAAGUAACUGUUUCGCAGAAGAGUUAUUAAGUCUGUGUGGUGCAAAAAUUGACACGAGCAACAAGAGAGCAAAGAAAAAAACAGGCGAACUGUGCGUGGAGGACGACGAGCUGCGAUGGUAGUAGUGUGUGAUGACACACCGGGACUAGCAGCACGACCUCAACCUACGACCCGCGUCGUACCCGGGAUGCAAUGGUGUGCAGCGGCGAUGACACGAGCAGUUCCAUGCGCUAAACUUGUGAAGCGCUAUUAAUUGGUGACCGAUGCCAGCAAAUACAGCAAAAGUCUAGACGCAAGAGCACUCUCGCGAAAAAAACACUCAACUCAACGUACUCUGGAGCGCUUGGUACCUCGAAGUGCACCGAAAUUACAGCGAACCUCCAUUACAGGACGGAACGCCGGUCAGUAGCGGCAGACACCAGUGGUCAGCGGUCCUGUCCAGCAACUAGUCGCAGCAAUCUGAUUGUAAUCUACCAUACAGCCGGGUGCGCACAAUCAACUGGGUGAUACAACAGGAGUGGCACAACGGAGCAAACGGAGUGCACGGAGCGCAACAAAAAUUCCAUAGAUAUGGUCCGCCAUGGUGUCAACAAACGGUGGCCCUUCUACUGUCGCUGCUGCUGUUGCCGCUGCCGGUACUGCUGCUGCUACUGCGGCUGCCGCUGCUGCUGCUGCUGCGGCGGGGUCCGCGUCCACCCUCAGCACCGCUGAUGCGACACAACUGUUCAUCAACACAACGCUUGACUCAUGUGCCCUUAAAUAUGAAGAGUUCGUUAUACCGAAUACAGUUCCUUACUGCAACUGGACCUGGGAUAGCAUACUAUGCUGGCCCCCGACACCAGCCAAUUUGACAAUAAGACAGCGAUGCCCUCCAGCACACGGAAUCGAUACCUCAAAGUUUGCCGAACGACGAUGCAGUGCCGAAGGACAGUGGGAGGGCAAACCGGGCUCCCCGCCAACCCUUCACGGAUGGACCAACUAUACGCCCUGCUACAGCCCGGAAGUUAUACAACUGUUUAGAAAGCUUUACGCCAGCGGCAGCGACGACGAAGCGAAUGACAAGUUUGACAUUGCCGAGCGAACGCGCACACUGGAGACGGUGGGAUUUAGUCUUUCACUAGUAGCGUUAAUUGUUUCGUUAGUCAUAUUUUGUAAAUUUCGCGGUCUGCGCAACAACCGGACGCGAAUACACAAAAAUCUGUUCGUUGCCAUGGUGAUACAGGUGGUGAUCCGCCUGACCGUAUACAUUGACCAAGCGAUCAUACGCAGCGGUGGCAAGAAAGGCAACGAAAGCUCCCGCCAAGGAAUCGAUAACACUCUUUUCCUGUGCGAAGCGUCGUACGUGCUGCUGGAGUACGCCAGGACCUGCAUGUUUAUGUGGAUGUUUAUAGAGGGACUAUAUUUACACAACGUAGUGACGGUGACAGUAUUCCAGGGAAGAUUUCCCCACAAGCUUUACGCGAUCGUCGGCUGGGGCGGCCCACUCAUACUGACCAUCAUCUGGGCCAUCAUAACCGCGCAGUACAUCCGGCAGCAGAAAUGCUGGUGGGGAUACAACUUGACGCCUUAUUACUGGAUUUUGGAAGGUCCAAGACUAGCAGCUGUCGUGUUAAAUUUCAUAUUUCUACUCAACAUUAUACGAGUGCUGAUCGUGAAGCUGCGCCAAAGCCACACCAGCGACGUGGAGCAGGUCCGGAAAGCGGUCCGGGCGGCGGUCGUCCUCGUGCCGCUGCUCGGCAUCACCAACAUACUGAACAUGACGCAGGCACCGCUCGACAAGACGGCCCUCGAGUUUGCCAUCUGGUCGUACGUGACGCACUUUCUCAGCUCCUUCCAGGGAUUCUUCAUCGCGCUGCUGUACUGCUUCCUGAACGGGGAGGUACGGACGGCACUGAUGAAAAGCAUCAGCGUGUACCUGUCGCUCCGUGGGCACCACGAUUGGGCGAUCCGGCGUCAGUCCCUGUUUUCCGCCGGCUAUCCAACCGCCCCGAUCAACGAGACACCGCACGCAGGCGAACCGCAACGCACCCCCAACACCAACAAUAACAACAACAACAAUAAUAAUAGUAGCAGAAACGCCGCCAGCAACAAUCUGCUGGCCGGGGCCGCCAGCAGCAACAACCAUCACACCGCCAACGGUGGUAUGGCCGGCGGCAACGCGAACGGUUUCCGGUGCGGCUGGUUUAGCCGCUGCUUUUUAGUACAAAAAAACACCCACCCGUCCGCACCGGAGCCGGCCCCGCCCGAGUCAGUUGUAUUCGAUAUUUCCGACUAGUUGUGUUUGUGUGUGUGUGUGUGUGUCCUUGGUUGUGUGUGUAUUUUGGUUCCGAUUUUGGUUUUAGUGUCCUUCCUUAACCAGCGUGUGAUGGCGGCUGGCGGAACACGCCCGAAGUAGUACACCGAUCCAAGAGACUAUACGAAACUAGUAAAGCUUUACCACACACACACACAUCCUCCCCAAAUGACUAACGCUGCAGAGCGGUGGAGGUGUGUUGAAGAGAGGAGUCAAUGGAGGAGCACAACACACACGCACAAAAGAAACCAACACAUUGCUAUAUCAGGGCAGCGCAACAAAAACGUGACGGGGAGAAGCAACGCACGUGCGACGAACGCACGCUUAGGGACAUUGGGGCGUGGAGGAGAGCAGGAGGCAUUUCGAAUUUUAUAUAAACGAUUGUUCUGCCGCCAAAACUUUAUUUAAAAAUAGCAAAAGGGAAAGGGGCAGAUGCGGACGGAAGGACGGAAAUUUAUCAAAUUAUUGCUUACGUACGAAUCGAAUUUACUCUGUUACAGAUCGUAGGUUAUAAUGGAGCAAACGGGGCUGAUUGUUAAAGGAAAGGACCCUUAGAAAGGGGAGAGGGGGAGGCACAGAGUGGGUUCCCGCUCGCUGUUUCAAUAUACAUUAUGGCACAUAUUUUAUGGAGGGAAGCGCGAGGGACGACACAGGAGAAGAUGUUACUAAUAUUAACGAUUGUCGAUUGUUUUUUGUCGAUUGUUUCGUAACUGGAUGAGCCUAGCGUUUAAGGGAUGUCGCAAACAAGUACGUAAAAAGAAAAGAAAGAGCCCAAAUCUGCACACCAGCAGCAGCAGCAGCACUACAAACAAACAAAGCGAAACCUAACGCCCAGAAACGCGCAAAAGGGGCGCAGAAAUGGCUUUAGAUUGAUUUAUGUGUAAAAAGCAAAGCAACGCAAACUUCAAACCGAACAAAUAAAUGCAAUGUUGUCUGUUUUUGUACAA
RNA transcript from Anopheles gambiae (African malaria mosquito), 5037 nucleotides. It is a transcript of the gene named PDF receptor, with no coding region annotated. The record is from RefSeq and is a predicted model, not a curated record. The transcript has 12 exons. NCBI's taxonomy places the organism in Eukaryota, Metazoa, Arthropoda, Insecta, Diptera, Culicidae.